Panicum virgatum (switchgrass) is the source of this 1292-nucleotide long non-coding RNA. RefSeq lists it as uncharacterized. Lineage: Eukaryota; Viridiplantae; Streptophyta; Magnoliopsida; Poales; Poaceae. The transcript has 2 exons. The record is from RefSeq and is a predicted model, not a curated record.
CCUCCCACAUCUCACCUCAGACGCGCCGCCGCUCUUCUCGCCUCAGAUGCGCCGCCGCCCUCCUCGCCUCUCCCUGUCCUGUCCCCAACUGGCACUUCUCCGGCCUCCACACCUAUCCCUCUCUUUCUCCUCAGAUCUGCGCGCUGCUCCCUCUCGCUCGUCCAGGGCCGCGGCCACCGUCUCGCUUGACCUCGUCGCCGCUGCGCAGGUGCUUGGACCCAGCUCGGGCACUCCUUCCUGCGGGCGGCGGUGCGUGGAUCUAGAGGAGGCGCGGCCCCAGGUGAAGUGCACGGAUCAAGAGCAGGCGGUGCUUCUUUCUCUCCUGCUCGGAGCGGAUCGAGUCCGCGGGGUUCUUCCUCGGCAAUUCAAGCUCGACUUCCAGCGGCGCGGGCUUCCCCCACCGACGACGGCGUGGUUGUCGCGGGCUGGGCGGCCGCUUCUUCCUCCCCAGCGUCACAUCUCCUCCACUCCGUCCAUGGCUUCUUCCCCUACCUCCAGAAGACCACCUGCUCCUUGUGCGAUACGCCGCUGGCCGCAUUCGCAAGUGCAAGAUCCGUGUAUUGUUUGUGACCUACAAGCUGAUAAGAGCCUUUGAGUCUGUCAUACAUCAAGAUAAGUUUCUGAUCUCUUAUAAUAACAGUCAUACCAUGUUUGUAAUAAGAAAUCAUUAAUUGUAGCUAUCUAUCCUUAAACUUUGCUAUACCAAUUUUUUAGAACUUCGGAUUAGAGGUGUUCUCAACUGCUAUUUUGCUAGACUGAAAGUACUAGUGCUAGGAGGACCAGUUAGAUAUCUAUCUGAAAAUAGAGUUCUUGUUAGAUGGAUGCACUGCCUGAUGAGGUAUUAUAUACAUGUGCUGUACUGCAGAUUUUGUACUCUACUAAUCUGUAGAGAACAUGGAUAGAUAUAGAAAUGUAAGAUCUGAAUAUGCAAGACCUUAGUAUCCUCAUAAUACCAUAUGAAAUUUACCAUGUACAUUUGCAUCUGAACUUUAUAAUAUAUAUGUGCAGGUACAAUAUGGUUGUGGAUGUGAAUGAGAUGGCCGUCAAGCAUACAUGCAAAUUUCUGCUAGGUCAGAGAUGAAAAAGCAAGUUGUGUUGGAGGCGCAGCUUGAGCAUUUGCUGUGUCAAAAUGGACCGAGCAAAGCGUCAUGGUGGUAUGUUAGCUUUUGGUGGAACUAAGCUUUUGCAGGAACCAAACUUGUGUUUGUAAUUCUGCUGAAACCUAUCUUUUUUUUUGUUUCUGAUGCUACAAUGGACGGCAAGUGAUACUAGAUGAAAAAAAAUGUAUGUGA